RNAcentral lists this long non-coding RNA (1004 nucleotides) under Rattus norvegicus (Norway rat). RNAcentral describes it as "long non-coding RNA NONRATT027463". The record is from RNAcentral. Lineage: Eukaryota; Metazoa; Chordata; Mammalia; Rodentia; Muridae.
UGGGUAUGGAGCAUUCUCUGUAAAAUACUUGUCAGGUUUAUAUAUAUAUGUGUGUUGUGUGUGUGUAUACAUGUAUGUAUUUUAUAUAUACAUCUAUACACACAUAUAUGUAUACACAUAUAUGUGUAUAUAUUAUAUAUAUCUUUAUUUUUUAGUUUUUAUGGAGAUUUUAGAUAUGAAGAAAUAUGAAGGGCUUCCAAAGACUUUUCCCUAGUGCUUAUUAAAUAUUUUAUGUCAUUUAAAGAUUUUGUAUUAAAGUAGAAUGAUAUAUUACUACCUUUUCACUAAGCAAAUACACUCUUCAAAUGCGUAAAUUGUAAAAUUAUCUUUCAAAAAGAUUUUCCUAAUUACAGACUAAUGAUUAAACAUGAAAAACGAAAACCUCGCAAAGGUUGAGACACUGUCGUCUUUACAGUGAAAACAUCAGACAAGUAUAUUCCUGUUCUUUAGGUAUUAUUUGUUACAGUCUUUUUUUUGCCUGCAUAUUACUUUUGCUAUUUUUGUUUUGGCCAACUAAUGAAUGCCUUUUUUUUUUCUGCUGCAGUAUUUGGAAUGUUUGGGUAGCUGUUAAUGAUAGGCAGUCAUCAGGAAUGGACUAGCAUUGUUUUAACAUCAGUGAAUAUGAACUUACUGCUCAUGUCUACCCUGUAAGGUAUGCAUGCUGUCCUGUAAUAUAGGUGAGGAAAAGGACUCAUGUCACAUUGCUUAACCUGUUGCAAAGUUGAAAUCACUAAGCUGUUCGGCAAAGAUUACAGACUCAGGUACUUUGAAUUUGAUGCCUGUGCCUGUGCCUGUGCCUGUGCCUUGCCUGUGCCUUUGUCUUUGCCUCUGCCCAGACAUACUCUGUACUGCUCAUCAGUUGAAUGAAUAGCUUUUUUAAAAAUACUGGCACAUGGCAUGACAGAUGUUAUGUAAUGUUAGAAAAUAAUUCCACAAAAUAUGUCAUUUUUCUUGGAUUGUUUUGAUUAAUAGUCUAUUAAAAAACUCACUAUUUGUGAUUUGUC